RNAcentral lists this transfer RNA (77 nucleotides) under Bryoxiphium norvegicum. Its description in RNAcentral is "partial tRNA-Leu". Lineage: Eukaryota; Viridiplantae; Streptophyta; Bryopsida; Bryoxiphiales; Bryoxiphiaceae. The record is from RNAcentral.
CCGAAAUCGGUAGACGCUACGGACUUGAAAAUCCGUUGGCUUUAUUGACCGUGAGGGUUCAAGUCCCUCUACCCCCA